CGGCCGACAGCGGCUCCCACGGGGAGCCCCGAGCUCCCAGCGGGCGGGGUGCGGGGGGACGGAAUGGGACCUGCUCGGGUCUUCCCUUCACAUCUUGCCCUCUCGGAGCCUGGCGGUGCUCUGGGGAGUCAACACAGGGGGAUAGAGCGCCUUUCCCUCACAGAAACCCAGUGCGGAGCCGUCCCCUCCGCCCUGCAUCCUGUCGUGAGGCACAAGCGGUUCCCCCCCGUCCCCCGCCCUGCUGCUCCGGGCUGACUUCUAUCUCUCUCUCUCCCUCCGCAGUGUGUGGCGUGGGCCGCCUGGCGGGGAGGAAGGCGGCAGAAAGCGUCCCAAGGUACCGGCAAGGCCUUCCAAUGCCCCCGAAGGCUUUGUCCGCUGGCCUGCCGCGCUCGGCUGCGCCCGGUGUGGGCAGGAGGCCAAGGACAGGCCUGGCCAGUGGGAAGCGCUGGGGAUCUGGAGUCGUGCCUUUGAACGGCUAUAGAGGUCCCACAUAGCAACUUUGUUUGAAAUAUUCUAGGCAUGGAUGAUCACACCUAAAUUAGAAGCACUGCUCAGGACUUCUUAAGAAUGAACAGUACCAUCCGCUAGAAGUCUGGCAGUGUCUUAAGUGGCCAACACAGAGGGGUAUAAAAGUUCUCUCUCAAACCCAGAGGUGAGGUUGAAACUCUUCUUUGGAUCAUGGUGAGAGGAACAACACAUUCAUGAAACUACUGAACUUCAGGAAACUACUAAAUCAACUUUAUUAAUAGCUUGUAGGUGUGUUGGUGCUUUAUGAACCUGUGAUAAACGUGUGAAGAGUUCCUUGUAAACUGGUUGGUCUCCAGGGAGGAAACCAGCAUGUGCAAGGGAUUUGAACUGAUAUUAAACAUCAGCUUAUGAUUUCAUGAGUGGCUGAUUUUUGAAUUCAUACUAGAUGAUUCCAGUUGUCACCUGUAAUGUAUUGUCUUGAAAGUGGAAUUGAGACAAGCAAUGGCUAAAGCUACACAUUUUCAAUGAUCAUGUUUAAUCAGGAACCUUGUCAUUUGUUAAAACAGGUUUCUUAACAAAAACUGCUGUAAUUUAUUUCUGUGUCUUUGUGGAUUAAUUGAAAUAAAAUAUGAGAAUGCUACCAGAA
This is a long non-coding RNA of Harpia harpyja (harpy eagle), 1114 nucleotides long. RefSeq lists it as uncharacterized. The record is from RefSeq and is a predicted model, not a curated record. Lineage: Eukaryota; Metazoa; Chordata; Aves; Accipitriformes; Accipitridae. The transcript has 5 exons.